Uranotaenia lowii is the source of this 327-nucleotide long non-coding RNA. RefSeq lists it as uncharacterized. The transcript has 3 exons. Lineage: Eukaryota; Metazoa; Arthropoda; Insecta; Diptera; Culicidae. The record is from RefSeq and is a predicted model, not a curated record.
UAGCGGGAAAAAUUAACAAAUUUUCUCAUCCGAACGACUUAUUCGUCGGUGCGGCCGGACCCCUCCGGAUUUGUUCCACAACUCAGAGGGACCGAUCGAAGUCGAACCAAUAUUCGAAGCUGGUUCAGGAAGGAAAUGGGACCCUGCAUUGAGCGAAGUAAGGCUUUCCAUUAUUUUUAUCAGUAGCUACAAAAUCCAACGGGUAAAUUAUCCCCCAAGGCAAGCUAUUAGCGGGAAUAUAGAUUGACCAUGAUGUGCAAAAAGGGAGACGAAGACUUUCCCAAUGAUAAAAAGCAUUUUGUAGCAAAUAAAUGAGGCAUAAAACAA